GCCUUUCUACAUUCUGUCAUGUGAAGACAGUGCUCCUCUCCUCUGCACGAAUCAGCAACAUGACACCAUCUUGGAAGCAGAGAGCAGCCCUAACCAGAUAACCAAAUCUGUUGGCACCGUUAUCUUAGAUUUCCCAGUCUCCAGAGCUGUGAGAAAAUUAAUUUCUGUUAUUUAUAAAUUAGUCUCCAGUAUUUGUUAUAGCAGCACAAAACAGAUGGACUAAGACAGACAUCUGAUGAGUUUAACACAGUACCUUGCACAUGAUGUCUUGAAAAAGCUUUCUGGGUUUAGACAUGGAAGAUUGGAAAUUGGAGGACAAGAAGCCUGGAUAUAGCUACCCCUCUCUUUUUCUCUGGAUUGGGGAGAGCCCCUUCUCGCAGUCUUGGCAGAAGCCACUGGAUUACUCAGUGAUUUUUUUUCCCAAAAUGAAAGGAAGAGGAGGAAGCCAGCUGCAGCUUUGACACUUGUAAUUGUACCCCAGUGAGAAAUAAUGAGACAAAGAGAGAGUGUUCCAUCAGUCUCAGCCACUGGUUUGCCAGUGCCCAGAAACACAAGAUUAGCAGCUCUUGUAAUUUCAUCCUCCAGGUAGGUGUUCUUGUCAGUUCAGUUUCCAUUUUAGUAGAUGUGUCUUGGCUUUGAAUCUUUUCAGACAUCAGUAAAAUCUCCCCACAG
RNAcentral lists this long non-coding RNA (672 nucleotides) under Homo sapiens (human). Its description in RNAcentral is "non-protein coding lnc-COX18-5:2". The record is from RNAcentral. Lineage: Eukaryota; Metazoa; Chordata; Mammalia; Primates; Hominidae.